This 215-nucleotide long non-coding RNA is filed under the name Pongo abelii (Sumatran orangutan). RNAcentral describes it as "lincRNA". Lineage: Eukaryota; Metazoa; Chordata; Mammalia; Primates; Hominidae. The record is from RNAcentral.
AAAAAGCAUGCAUUCUCAUGCACAGGGUCCUGAAGAAUCUCUAAGUCAGUCUUUCAUUGAAGGUUCAUGUUCUACCCAUAAGGAAAAAAUACAUAAUAACACACAUAGCAAGAAUUUCAGAAAUAAUACCCUCUGAAAUGUAUCCUCCAAGUUGUGAGAGUAAAGACAUUUGAGUUCCUGCUGAGGUAUCUGCAGAACUGGGACAUUAUCAAUGA